GCAAAACGCGAAGAACCUUACCCACCUUUGACAUGUACGGAAUCCUUUAGAGAUAGAGGAGUGCUCGAAGAGAGCCGUAACACAGGUGCUGCAUGGCUGUCGUCAGCUCGUGUCGUGAGAUGUUGGGUUAAGUCCCGCAACGAGCGCAACCCUUGCCAUUAGUUGCUACAUUUAGUUGAGCACUCUAAUGGGACUGCCGGUGACAAACCGGAGGAAGGUGGGGAUGACGUCAAGUCCUCAUGGCCCUUAUAGGUGGGGCUACACACGUCAUACAAUGGCUGGUACAAAGGGUUGCCAACCCGCGAGGGGGAGCUAAUCCCAUAAAGCCAGUCGUAGUCCGGAUCGCAGUCUGCAACUCGACUGCGUGAAGUCGGAAUCGCUAGUAAUCGUGGAUCAGAAUGUCACGGUGAAUACGUUCCCGGGUCUUGUACAC
RNAcentral lists this ribosomal RNA (433 nucleotides) under uncultured bacterium. RNAcentral's name for it is "bacterial SSU rRNA". It matches the Rfam family "Bacterial small subunit ribosomal RNA", at positions 954 to 1388 of the family's 1533-position model. The record is from RNAcentral.